UACAGAGGUCCCGAGCGUUGUUCGGAUUCAUUGGGCGUAAAGGGUGCGUAGGCGGUCUUCUAAGUUUGAUGUGAAAUCCCGGGGCUCAACCCUGGAAUUGCAUUGAAUACUGGAGGACUAGAGUACUGGAGAGGAAACUGGAAUUUACGGUGUAGCAGUGAAAUGCGUAGAGAUCGUAAGGAAGACCAGUGGCGAAGGCGAGUUUCUGGACAGUAACUGACGCUGAGGCACGAAGGCCAGGGGAGCAAACGGG
Molecule: ribosomal RNA, 253 nt
Filed under: uncultured bacterium
Lineage: Bacteria
Description: partial 16S ribosomal RNA
Rfam family: Bacterial small subunit ribosomal RNA
Source: RNAcentral